AUCAUUUCUCUUAGUAAUGUUUCCUUCCUCUGUUCUUUUUCACAGACUGGUCUUUUUGUCUGGAAUGCAUUCCCUUCUAACCUCCACCUGUACUCUCCAAAGCUUUAGCUUCCUUCAAGGCUAACUCUUCAAGAAGCGUAUUGUAUAGCCUUGGGCAAGUCACUUAACUCCCAUUGCCUAGCCCUUACUACUCUUCUGCCUUGGAACCAAUACAUCCGUAGUCUUGAUUCCAAGACAGAAGAAUAGAAUGUGAGGUCCUCAAAGGCAGAGACUUUUUUUUGUCUUUGUAUCCCUAGUAUCUACCUAACACCAGGCUUUACACCUAAUCGGUAUUUAAAAAAUGGCAGAUGCUGAAAUGAGUCGUUACCUGAGUGUUUGGAACCUUUCCAUUAAUUAUUACCAGCAGUGUAAUUUCUACCACCUUCUUCCUCAUCUAUUCAGAAGGAUCAGACUUAACCCAAAGCAGUGUAUUUUAAAGCCAAACUGGAACCAUAUUUAUUAUUCUCCAUUACAUAGAAACUGGUCAAGGAGCUAUUGCCAUCAAGACACCAGAAUGCUAUGGAAACAUAAAGGACUCCAGAAAUAUGCAGAGGACCUGACUGGAGAAUAUCAGAGGCUAGAUAGAUUGUUGCAUCAUGUCUCUGUGAGUGAUGGUGAUCGAAGGACCAUGAGCAGAAGACAUGCUGAGUUGGCACAAUUUACUGCCAUCUAUAAAGAAAUUCAAGAGUCUGAAAAAGCAAUUGAAGAUUUAGAAUCAAUGUGUAAAAGUUUGAAUGAACAGGAUGAGAAACAGCUACUUGAACUUGCUUUUGAAGAAAGAGAAGUGAUUGAUCAAAAGAUUAACAGGCUCUGCCAAGAGCUUUUCCAGUCUCUAGUGCCAAAGGAGAAAGAUGACAAGAGUGAUGUUAUUUUAGAAGUAACAUCUGGGAGAACAACUGGAGGUGAUAUCUGCCAACAGUUUACCAAAGAAAUAUUUGAAAUGUACCAGAGUUAUUCAUGUUACAAAGGUUGGAACUUUGAGAUCUUAAACUACACAACUGCUGACUAUGGUGGGCUGCACCACGCAGCGGCAAGGAUUUCCGGUGACAGCGUCUAUGAGUAUAUGAAGUACGAAGGCGGAAUCCACCGCGUCCAAAGAAUCCCGGAGGUUGGCCUCUCCUCGAGGAUGCAGCGUAUUCACACGGGAACGAUGUCGGUCAUCGUCCUUCCUCAGCCAGACGAGGUAGACAUUCGAGUGGAACCCAAGGACUUGCGGAUAGACACAUUUCGGGCCAAAGGAGCAGGAGGCCAGCACGUUAAUACCACAGACAGCGCCGUCAGGAUUGUUCAUAUCCCCACAGGACUAGUAGUCGAAUGCCAGCAACAGCGAUCACAAAUCCAGAAUAAAGAUACAGCUUUUCGUCUGUUAAGAGCUAAACUCUACCAGCAGACUAUUGAGAAAGAACAAAGUAAAAAGCAGAGUGUUCGAAAACUACAGGUGGGAACAAGAGCCCAGUCGGAAAGAAUUCGGACAUACAAUUUCACCCAGGACAGAGUCACUGACCAUAGAAUCUCUUAUGAAGCCCGAGAUAUUAAGGUAAAAAAAAAAAGAAUCCAAUAUGUAGCUUGACUGUUGGGCUAGCUGGAGGUAUUUAUGGAUUCAGGAGGCAGGAUGAGAAGAAUGGAUAAGUUUCUGGGAUCAGGAGGACCAUAAGACAUUCAUGGUGAAUUAUGGAAUUUUUAUGUGGUGGGAGACCUCUGGAUACACUGAUCCAAAGACUACUAGUGUCAGCAAAUGAAGAAGCCAUUGUUGAAUUUUUGGAUAAUCACUUUAAAUCUUCUAAAUCAAAGAACUGAAAUUGCCCCUAUUAGAAAUACAAAUAAAAAGACUAAAACUUGG
This is a non-coding RNA of Monodelphis domestica (gray short-tailed opossum), 1879 nucleotides long. The record is from RefSeq and is a predicted model, not a curated record. Lineage: Eukaryota; Metazoa; Chordata; Mammalia; Didelphimorphia; Didelphidae.